Long non-coding RNA from Jaculus jaculus (lesser Egyptian jerboa), 552 nucleotides. RefSeq lists it as uncharacterized. The record is from RefSeq and is a predicted model, not a curated record. The transcript has 3 exons. Lineage: Eukaryota; Metazoa; Chordata; Mammalia; Rodentia; Dipodidae.
CCAGACCUUAACUCUCAGAGAGAAGGAUCAGUUGGCCAAGCCACUGGGGUUUAGACGAGCAGAAGUCUCUGGGCAGCCACCUCCGCAAAACCCCAUAAGGUAAUAGCAGGGAGGUUUUCAGAGGCUGUGUCCAAGCUGUCUUCACUGAGGAUGGAAGGUGUCCUCAAGUCCGCACUGGCCGUGAGACCUCUCAGGAAGAGGCUGGGGCAGGUGAGCCUUGCUGACAGACUUGCCUGGAGGCGCUGAGAUGCCGGCUCGGUGCACACCCAGCGCCCGCUGCGCAGGCAGGGGCAUCUGAGUUCAGAUGCCCAGAACCCACAUCAAGCCAGGUGAAGAAGGAAUCUCAAUGCGGAACUCUAUAUGGCCCCAUCUGCUCAAAUGACAUCACUCCCUGCCCCAAACAUCACGUCAUCGGAGCUUACAUGAGAAGCGGAGAUGUCCCGGGAAACACUGUCUGCAGAAAGAGAGGAAAUGAUCAUUUCAAGGGAACUAAACAGGACUUCUUUUGUAUUUUCCACAUAGUACUCAUUAUUAUCAAUCUUAAAACCCAAA